RNAcentral lists this ribosomal RNA (252 nucleotides) under uncultured bacterium. RNAcentral's name for it is "partial 16S ribosomal RNA". It matches the Rfam family "Bacterial small subunit ribosomal RNA", at positions 524 to 776 of the family's 1533-position model. The record is from RNAcentral.
UACGUAGGUGGCGAGCGUUGUCCGGAAUUACUGGGUGUAAAGGGAGCGUAGGCGGGAGAGCAAGUCGACUGUGAAAUCUAUGGGCUUAACCCAUAGCUGCGAUCGAAACUGUUCAUCUUGAGUGAAGUAGAGGCAGGCGGAAUUCCUAGUGUAGCGGUGAAAUGCGUAGAUAUUAGGAGGAACACCAGUGGCGAAGGCGGCCUGCUGGACGGUGACUGACGCUGAGGCUCGAAAGCGUGGGGAGCAAACAGG